Molecule: ribosomal RNA, 446 nt
Filed under: Staphylococcus pasteuri
Lineage: Bacteria; Bacillati; Bacillota; Bacilli; Caryophanales; Staphylococcaceae
Description: bacterial SSU rRNA
Rfam family: Bacterial small subunit ribosomal RNA
Source: RNAcentral
AUGCAAGUCGAGCGAACAGAUAAGGAGCUUGCUCCUUUGACGUUAGCGGCGGACGGGUGAGUAACACGUGGAUAACCUACCNAUAAGACUGGGAUAACUUCGGGAAACCGGAGCUAAUACCGGAUAAGAUUUUGAACCGCAUGGUUCAAUAGUGAAAGACGGCCNUGCUGUCACUUAUAGAUGGAUCCGCGCCGUAUUAGNUAGUUGGUAAGGUAACGGCUUACCAAGGCAACGAUACGUAGCCGACCUGAGAGGGUGAUCGGCCNCACUGGAACUGAGACACGGUCCAGACUCCCACGGGAGGCAGCAGUAGGGAAUCUUCCGCAAUGGGCGAAAGCCUGACGGAGCAACGCCGCGUGAGUGAUGAAGGUCUUCGGAUCGUAAAACUCUGUUAUUCAGGGAAGAACAAACGUGUAAGUAACUGUGCACGUGUUGUACGUGUACCU